This 229-nucleotide ribosomal RNA is filed under the name uncultured bacterium. RNAcentral describes it as "partial 16S ribosomal RNA". It matches the Rfam family "Bacterial small subunit ribosomal RNA", at positions 568 to 796 of the family's 1533-position model. The record is from RNAcentral.
UACGUAGGCGGCUUGGUAUGUCGGAUGUGAAAGCCCGGGGCUCAACCCCGGAAGUGCAUCCGAAACUGCCGAGCUAGAGUACAGGAUGGGAGAGCGGAAUUCCUGGUGUAGAGGUGAAAUUCGUAGAUAUCAGGAGGAACACCGGUGGCGAAGGCGACUUCCUGGACCAAUACUGACGCUGAGGUGCGAAGGCGUGGGUAGCAAACAGGAUUAGAUACCCUGGUAGUCC